AGGAUUCUCCCUCCAUCCCAAAAUUCUUGACUUAGUUUUGUCUAGAUAUGAAUGUAUCUAGUCAAGUUUUGGUAUUUAGAUACAUCCAUUUCUAGACAAACCUAUGACAAGAAUUUUUGGAUGGAGAGAGUAGUUG
Molecule: non-coding RNA, 136 nt
Organism: Hordeum vulgare subsp. vulgare (domesticated barley)
Lineage: Eukaryota; Viridiplantae; Streptophyta; Magnoliopsida; Poales; Poaceae
Source: Rfam